This 496-nucleotide ribosomal RNA is filed under the name uncultured bacterium. Its description in RNAcentral is "partial 16S ribosomal RNA". It matches the Rfam family "Bacterial small subunit ribosomal RNA", at positions 28 to 507 of the family's 1533-position model. The record is from RNAcentral.
GAUGAACGCUGGCGGCGUGCCUAAUACAUGCAAGUCGAGCGAACGGACGAGAAGCUUGCUUCUCUGAUGUUAGCGGCGGACGGGUGAGUAACACGUGGAUAACCUACCUAUAAGACUGGGAUAACUUCGGGAAACCGGAGCUAAUACCGGAUAAUAUUUUGAACCGCAUGGUUCAAAAGUGAAAUACGGUCUUGCUGUCACUUAUAGAUGGAUCCGCGCUGCAUUAGUUAGUUGGUAAGGUAACGGCUUACCAAGGCAACGAUGCAUAGCCGACCUGAGGGGGUGAUCGACAACAGUGGAACUGGGACGCGGUCCAAACUCCUACGGGAGGCACGGGUAGGAAAUCUUCCGCAGUGGGCGAAAGCCUGACGGAGCAACGCCGCGUGAGUGAUGAGGUCUUCGGAUCGUAAAACUCUGUUAUUAGGGAAGAACAUAUGUGUAAGUAACUGUGCACAUCUUGACGGUACCUAAUCAGAAAGCCACGGCUAACUACGUG